GUGAGGAAUUUUCCGCAAUGGGCGAAAGCCUGACGGAGCAAUGCCGCGUGAAGGAUGAAGGCCUAUGGGUUGUAAACUUCUUUUCUCAGAAAAGAAUUAUGACGGUAUCUGAGGAAUAAGCAUCGGCUAACUCUGUGCCAGCAGCCGCGGUAAGACAGAGGAUGCAAGCGUUAUCCGGAAUGAUUGGGCGUAAAGCGUCUGUAGGUUGUUUAAAAAGUAUUCUGUCAAAGAUUAGGGCUUAACCCUAGAGAGGCAGAAUAAACUUUUAAGCUAGAGUUUGGUAGAGGCAGAGGGAAUUCCCGGUGGAGCGGUGAAAUGCGUAGAUAUCGGGAGGAACACCAAAGGCGAAGGCACUCUGCUGGGCCAAUACUAACACUGAGAGACGAAAGCGAGGGGAGCAAAUGGGAUUAGAUACCCUGGUAGUCC
This 426-nucleotide ribosomal RNA is filed under the name uncultured bacterium. RNAcentral describes it as "bacterial SSU rRNA". It matches the Rfam family "Bacterial small subunit ribosomal RNA", at positions 354 to 796 of the family's 1533-position model. The record is from RNAcentral.